This 497-nucleotide ribosomal RNA is filed under the name uncultured bacterium. Its description in RNAcentral is "partial 16S ribosomal RNA". It matches the Rfam family "Bacterial small subunit ribosomal RNA", at positions 28 to 507 of the family's 1533-position model. The record is from RNAcentral.
GAUGAACGCUGGCGGCGUGCCUAAUACAUGCAAGUCGAGCGAACGGACGAGAAGCUUGCUUUUCUGAUGUUAGCGGCGGACGGGUGAGUAACACGUGGAUAACCUACCUAUAAGACUGGGAUAACUUCGGGAAACCGGAGCUAAUACCGGAUAAUAUUUUGAACCGCAUGGUUCAAAAGUGAAAGACGGUCUUGCUGUCACUUAUAGAUGGAUCCGCGCUGCAUUAGCUAGUUGGUAAGGUAACGGCUUACCAAGGCAACGAUGCAUAGCGGACCUGAGAGGGUGAUCGGCCACACUGGAACUGAGACACGGUCCAGACUCCUACGGGAGGCAGCAGUAGGGAAUCUUCCGCAAUGGGCGAAAGCCUGACGGAGCAACGCCGCGUGAGUGAUGAAGGUCUUCGGAUCGUAAAACUCUGUUAUUAGGGAAGAACAUAUGUGUAAGUAACUGUGCACAUCUUGACGGUACCUAAUCAGAAAGCCACGGCUAACUACGUG